This 89-nucleotide signal recognition particle RNA is filed under the name Alphaproteobacteria bacterium. RNAcentral's name for it is "signal recognition particle sRNA small type". It matches the Rfam family "Bacterial small signal recognition particle RNA". Rfam says of the family: The signal recognition particle (SRP) is a universally conserved ribonucleoprotein involved in the co-translational targeting of proteins to membranes. Lineage: Bacteria; Pseudomonadati; Pseudomonadota; Alphaproteobacteria. The record is from RNAcentral.
AGAUCGGGCAGGCGCAACGCCUCGCCAAGCCGGUCAGGGCCGAGAGGCAGCAGCCGUAACGAGAUUUUUGCGGGUUGAUCCGGUCUUCC